UACGUAGGGUGCGAGCGUUGUCCGGAAUUAUUGGGCGUAAAGAGCUUGUAGGCGGUUUGUCGCGUCUGCUGUGAAAUUUCGGGGCUCAACCCCGAACUUGCAGUGGGUACGGGCAGACUAGAGUGUGGUAGGGGAGACUGGAAUUCCUGGUGUAGCGGUGAAAUGCGCAGAUAUCAGGAGGAACACCGAUGGCGAAGGCAGCACUCUGGGACGGUACUGACGCUGAGACGCGAAAGCGUGGGGAGCGAACAGG
RNAcentral lists this ribosomal RNA (253 nucleotides) under uncultured bacterium. Its description in RNAcentral is "partial 16S ribosomal RNA". It matches the Rfam family "Bacterial small subunit ribosomal RNA", at positions 524 to 776 of the family's 1533-position model. The record is from RNAcentral.